CGAAUGGGGAAACCCAGCAUGAGUUAUGUCAUGUUAUCGAUAUGUGAAUACAUAGCAUAUCAGAAGGCACACCCGGAGAACUGAAACAUCUUAGUACCCGGAGGAAGAGAAAGAAAAUUCGAUUCCCUUAGUAGCGGCGAGCGAAACGGGAAGAGCCCAAACCAACAAGCAAGCUUGUUGGGGUUGUAGGACACUCUAUACGGAGUUACAAAGGACGACAUUAGACGAAUCAUCUGGAAAGAUGAAUCAAAGAAGGUAAUAAUCCUGUAGUCGAAAAUGUUGUCUCUCUUGAGUGGAUCCUGAGUACGACGGAGCACGUGAAAUUCCGUCGGAAUCUGGGAGGACCAUCUCCUAAGGCUAAAUACUCUCUAGUGACCGAUAGUGAACCAGUACCGUGAGGGAAAGGUGAAAAGCACCCCGGAAGGGGAGUGAAAUAGAACCUGAAACCGUGUGCUUACAAGUAGUCAGAGCCCGUUAAUGGGUGAUGGCGUGCCUUUUGUAGAAUGAACCGGCGAGUUACGAUUUGAUGCAAGGUUAAGCAGUAAAUGUGGAGCCGUAGCGAAAGCGAGUCUGAA
RNAcentral lists this ribosomal RNA (575 nucleotides) under Staphylococcus aureus. Its description in RNAcentral is "partial 23S ribosomal RNA". It matches the Rfam family "Bacterial large subunit ribosomal RNA", at positions 115 to 687 of the family's 2925-position model. The record is from RNAcentral. Lineage: Bacteria; Bacillati; Bacillota; Bacilli; Caryophanales; Staphylococcaceae.